This 253-nucleotide ribosomal RNA is filed under the name uncultured bacterium. RNAcentral's name for it is "partial 16S ribosomal RNA". It matches the Rfam family "Bacterial small subunit ribosomal RNA", at positions 524 to 776 of the family's 1533-position model. The record is from RNAcentral.
UACGGAGGGUGCGAGCGUUAAUCGGAAUUACUGGGCGUAAAGCGUGCGUAGGCGGUAUGUUAAGUUAGAUGUGAAAGCCCCGGGCUUAACCUGGGAACGGCAUUUAAAACUGGCAUGCUAGAGUUAGGUAGAGGGGAGUGGAAUUUCAGGUGUAGCGGUGAAAUGCGUAGAUAUCUGAAGGAACACCAGUGGCGAAGGCGGCUCCCUGGACCCAAACUGACGCUGAGGUACGAAAGCGUGGGUAGCAAACAGG